Molecule: ribosomal RNA, 253 nt
Filed under: uncultured bacterium
Lineage: Bacteria
Description: partial 16S ribosomal RNA
Rfam family: Bacterial small subunit ribosomal RNA
Source: RNAcentral
UACGAAGGGGGCUAGCGUUGCUCGGAUUUACUGGGCGUAAAGGGCGCGUAGGCGGACAGUUAAGUCGGGGGUGAAAGCCCGGGGCUCAACCUCGGAAUUGCCUUCGAUACUGGCUGUCUUGAGUGUGAGAGAGGUGAGUGGAAUUCCGAGUGUAGAGGUGAAAUUCGUAGAUAUUCGGAAGAACACCAGUGGCGAAGGCGGCUCACUGGACUGGUAUUGACGCUGAGGUGCGAAAGCGUGGGGAGCAAACAGG